RNAcentral lists this ribosomal RNA (293 nucleotides) under uncultured bacterium. Its description in RNAcentral is "partial 16S ribosomal RNA". It matches the Rfam family "Bacterial small subunit ribosomal RNA", at positions 505 to 796 of the family's 1533-position model. The record is from RNAcentral.
GUGUCAGCCGCCGCGGUAACACGUAGGGUGCAAGCGUUGUCCGGAUUCAUUGGGCGUAAAGGGCUAGUAGGCGGCUUAGCAAGUCGGGUGUGAAAACUUCAGGCUCAACCUGGAGCGGCCAUCCGAUACUGCUAUGGCUAGAGUCCGGUAGGGGACCACGGAAUUCCUGGUGUAGCGGUGAAAUGCGCAGAUAUCAGGAGGAACACCGAUGGCGAAGGCAGUGGUCUGGGCCGGAACUGACGCUGAAUAGCGAAAGCGUGGGUAGCGAACAGGAUUAGAAACCCUCGUAGUCC